GCUUACACCAAUAUCUUGGAACAUCCGCUGCAACUUGGACGUAUAUUCAAAACCACAAGCUUGUUUAAGUUUAGAGAUCAUGCUUGCCUCAGCAUCAUCACUAGCACUGUUCUGAUGUACAAGUCUUUUUGCAAGCAUUUUAGCAUAGAAUUUUUGAAACACAUCUUUAUCUUCAAUGUAUUUGAAGACAACCAUCACUUGAUUGAGUGUAUCUUCCAAUUCUGCUUCUUCUGGAUUUUUUGAGCUUUUCUUCAGUAAAGAAUCACAGUAUCGUGCCAGUAGCUCU
RNAcentral lists this long non-coding RNA (286 nucleotides) under Gallus gallus (chicken). The record is from RNAcentral. Lineage: Eukaryota; Metazoa; Chordata; Aves; Galliformes; Phasianidae.